CGGGCACAGGAGUCGCCCCUCAAAGCGAGUCUGGUGCAGCCAACGUGCGGCGCUUCCUUGCGGACCUGAGCCCAGACCCUCCAACUAGAGGCAGCGUUUAACAUCAGUAACUGAGAUAAGCCUCAGUAAAGAUCAGGCUGGAGUACAGUGGUAUGAUCUUGGCUCACUACAACCUCCUCCUGCAGGUUCAAGCAAUUCUCCUGCCUCAAACUCCUGAGUAGCUGGGACUACAGGUGCACUUCAGACUUCUGUGACUGACAGCACAUGGGGUCCUAUAUGCUCUAAUGGUGAACCUGGGUAUUACAAAAUAUGUGAGUAGGUGGGCUUCUGUUAAAUGGGGUACUUAAAAAAGAACUAUUCAUGUUGCCCACGUUGUGCUUGAAUGGGCACAGUCUUAAGAAUGCAAUGAGCUCAAAUGUUAAUAUAUGCCCAUUGGACUAUAGUUUCCAUGAAAGGUCAUGUUGUGCCUGUCAAUAAAUGCUGUAGAAUAAGACAUGAACUACAAUGCUGUGCUCUUCACAAAAGGCAACCUUAUCUGCCUCUAUAGAGAGAGUGAGAUUGUAUUAUCAUAUAAAAGAAAAUAAAGACUGUACCCCUAUAGGUUCUUUGUGUGUAUUUGUGGUUGAGUGAGCAGGCAAUUUUGGAGAGAUAAACACAUUGGAUAUCAUUUGAUUCCUAUACACAUUGACUAUUUUACAGAACAUUAUACUCUAAGGAGAUUUGUCUACUUUAAAAUCAAGAGAUGAUAAGGAAUCAUAAAGAUCUAAAUUUAUGUUGCCUGCUUUACCAUGAAACCAUCUAUUAUUAAUAUAAAGCAGUAAGAAAGAAUGCCCUAUAAUUAAUGGUCUAAAAGUGAAAAUGACAUGACUAGCUUUUUUCACUGAAAGCAAUUUCUAUUCUGUUAUUGUUACUCUGUGGCUUAAUUUUAAAAUUUUAUUAUGUCUUUAAAUCAUGAUUACUAUAGGAAAUAUGAUGCUUUUCUACUUCCUAACCACUGCUUAUCCAAGCAUCCACAAUCUUUUAUAAUACUAUUUUGUACAACCAUAUUUAUUUUAAAAUAAAAAGCAUUAGAUUUUUUAGUAUAGUGACAGAAUCUUAUUGUGGUAGUUGAAUAAAGCAACAUUUACUUAAGUCAAAGGAUUAGAAUAUGAAUAUGCAUUGAUAUUGAGAUGUACAUAACUUUGAAAAAUUUAAUGACAGCAAUACUAAAGAAUAAAUUAAUUUUUACAAGUAUAAAUUCAAAAUUCUAGAAAAUUCAUGUUGAAAAUUGCUUAAAAUUUUUAUUAUGAGGCUUUUAGGAAAGGCAUUUUAUUUCUUGAUAAUAUAAAAUACAGCAAAGAGAACUCAAAUAUUCAGAAUUUCCUAGGAUCACAUCUCUGACUGAAUGAAAUUCAAUUCAAAAGACAAAUACAGACAUAUAUCUUAAAAAAUGUGCUAUGAGCUGGUAGUUGUCUGUAGAGAAUGUACACUCUAACAAAAAAACAGUAGGAUAACUUCAAUACAAUGCUGUGGUUGGCGCUUUGAUAAUGGCAUGCACAGCAUGCACAUAAGAGGAAACUUAACAUUAGCUGGAUGGAAUGUGAUGUUUUUUUCUAGGACUAGCUUCUUGCCUUAUAAAAGAGCAGAGUCUGGGGCUCUUGAUUCUAUAAUCUCUAAAAUCCAGAAUAAGACUGAGGAAUUAACUGGGGUAACCUGGGAGAUGAGAGUGCUUACCCUAGAAAUUUGGGUGGUUUGGAAAGCAUUGGCAGAUGCUCUCUUUCCACCGAAGUAACUCCAGAAUAGGGCACCAUGAUUAGAAUUGAGGGACUGCAGUGUUAACCGACCUGAUGGUGACUUGGUGAUUUAGCAUACCUUUAAUAUUCUUCUUGAGGUAGGACCCUCAGAUAGAUACUCUUGUGGAGAUAGUGAACUUCUCCUCUUCACCUUCCCUCCCACUGCUCCAGUCUCCCAAAGACAAGGAAAAGUGAAUCUAGGAAAUGAAGCAGUGAGAGUAGAGAACCUAAGAAAAAAUAGAGAUGGUAUAUUAAUCAACUAAGAAUUACGUUAAGACAUAUGCAUCAUCAGUUUUACCUGUGCCCAAAACGGAGGAACUCUGUAGAUGCCAGGGAGAUGAGUUUUGGAGAAAUGGUGAGGAGAGGAGCUCCUCUUACAGUAGCAGCAGAACAAGGCAUGCUGGUAUUGGACUUCUUAAUCCAGCAAUGUUUACCUCACUUUGCUGGAGCAGCACACAAAGUGUUUAUCUUGAUGUUUAUCUAGAGUUAUAGGCACAAGUACUGAACUCGUGUGUUGAAAGGGUGCACUAUUGCCUAGUUCCAAUCAGGUAAAGUUGGAGAGAGUAACCUGGGCUUCUUAGGAGCAAAAUUAAUACUUAAAAAAAGUAUUCUUUUUAAGGGGCCUUACCUCUGGCAGGGAUUUCCCUAAAACUGGGAGGUUUUGGUUCUCUAUAAACUCCAAUUUCCUGGAAAUAAUAUUUUGUAUAUCCUAGAAGUAAUAGUAUAAUUCAUCCUGAAAAAUAUGAUUCUGAUGGCGUUGGCUGAUUAUUGCUGGCAGUGAAAGUAGGUGUUGUGGAAUAUUCUAGAUGUAUAAUAUUUAAUUACGUUAUUGGAGAAGUUAAAAAAUUACAAAAGAACACAGGUUUAGUUUCAUUUGUGCUAAUGGGCUAAUGGAAGUUCACUUUGAUAUUUAUCUUACAAUAUUUUCAAUUUCGAUAUCAUCAACUUGAAUGAAAAUUAUUAUAGUUAGAAAUAAGCACAUGAUAAUAUAAAACAUGCCGAAAGUAUAGAAGAACGCUAGGGAAUGGAGAUUGCUGAUGAAGCUAGAGUUAAAGAAAAUUUCUUAUAGAAGGUUAGUUCUUUCUGGAAGGAUGUAAUAGAUGCAGAUUGGCGUCUAUGUUUUAAUUUGUAUUGAGCAACUCAUGCAACCAUGUCAAAGGCUUUUCACCUUCAGCAUCUCACUUUAUCCAGACAAAAUUUCUAUAGCUGUUACCAUAAUAAUUAGAUUAACAAAAAAACUAAGCCAUAAAGAAGUUAAAUAUCAUCUAAGAAUACAUUUGAUUAGCUGGAUAUCUGAGACUUGAAGCCAAAUCUCCUGUGUUCUGGUCCAUAGGAUGUAUUCUCUUUCCUAUUUUAUCCCUCAUAUAGUAUAAGUAACAAGGAAUAGACUACAAAUAUAUGGAUAUUCCAAUAAUUUUUCUACUAAUUUAAAAGCAAAAAAUAGUUCAUCUAUUAAAAGUAAUCAUACCCAAUUAUGACCAAAUCCCAGGAAGUUAGGGAAAAAUGAAUUCUUAUCAAAGAUCAGGUCAACUUGGUCAGAUAACAUAUACUAAGCAAAUUUUUUUUUAAGACAAAGUGUGCUUCUACUGCCUAGGCUAGAGUGCUGCACUGGUGUGAUCUCAGCUCACUGCAUCCGCGGCUCUUUGGGUUCAAGCCAUUCUCCUGCCUCAGCCUCCUAAGUAGCUGGCAUCAUAGAUGUGAGCCACAAUGCCCAGCUAAUUUUUGUGUUUUUGGUAAAGAUGGGGGUUUUAUCAUGUUAGCUAGUCUGGUCAUGAACUCCUGACUUCAAGUGACCCACCGGUCUCAGCCUCCCAAAAUGCUGGGAUUACAGAAGUGAGCCACCAUGACCGGCCUGCAAGUAGCUUUUCUUAAGGCAAUGCAAUAUUAGCCUUUGAAAGUUCUCCUCAUGAGGGUCCAUAUAGACAAUUCGUUUUGUUGACCAGCACCCAGAUCUAAGUGAUACGUCAAGGUGUUUUCCCAUUAUUUUGCCAUGAUGUGUCUGGAAAUGGAACUGGAUGUGAUAUUCUGGUCUUGGGCUCUCAUUUCUGAGGCCAGGAAGUGUUAGAGGGGGGUUAGGUUGUUAGCAAUUAACUCUAGAUUUUUCUCAAAAGCAAGGAGGAAGCUUUGCCCACCACUAAUUUUUCCACAUGUGGUUAUUGCCUAUCAUAAGCUACUACUUCUAGGCUAAUUAAAAAUGGCUUGUGUGCCAAGCAAAGUUACCAUUACAUAUCACACUUCAUUCUCAUUCUGGUUUGUUUUCUUUGGGAUUUCAAACUAAGAAAUCCCUUCUUGAAUUAUAGUCUUUUCUUCUUUCUCCCCAUAUCUUCCCACAUUUUUGCUUCUUUUGAGUUUGUACUUCAUCUUUGGCUCCAGGUAUUUUAAUUACUAGAUAACAACUGUCCUAAAUUUAGAAUAUAGAGAUAAAAGAUACAGUUUCAGCCAUCAAGGAGCUCACAGUCUAGCAAGACUGGCAAAAAAGGAAUCAGAAAAUGACAAUACUGUGUGGCAAAGUGUUAGAAAUUAUUGCUGGUACUAUAUCUCUUUUGAGUAGUGUGAUCUCGGUUAACCAUAUAAAACACAAGCAGAGAUUUGAGACUAAGUAGAAAAAGCCCCACUGUAUUACUUUUUUAUUGCUGCAUUGCAAAUUGCCCCAGAAUUUAGUGGCCUAAAAAAUCAUUUAUUAUUUGGCAUUUUCUAUGGGGCAGGAAUUUGGACCUGAAUUAGCUGGGUCCUCUUACCACCAAUGACUACAGCAUCAAUGUUGCUUUCAUCAACAUUGAGGCUGGAGUCAUCACAAGGUUUGUCUGGGUUGGAUCUACUCUCAGGCAUACUCAGGUAGUUAGUUGUUGGCAAGAUUUAGUUCCUUGUGAGUUUCUGGACUGAAGGCCUUAGUUCUUUGCUGCUAUUGUCUGGAGACCACCUUCAGCUUUUAUCAGGUGUGCCUCUCCAUAGGACACCCAACAACAAGGCAGCUGGCUUCAUCCUAGUGAGCAAGUUAAAGGAUGUGAGAGAAAGUGUGAGCAAGCAAGGAGUCAUAGUCUUAUAACCUAAUCUCAGAAGGGUCAUCCAUCACUUUUGCCAUAUUCUGUUUGUUAGAAGCAAGUCACUAGGUUCAGCCUAUACUCAAAAAAAAAAAAAAAAAAAAAAAAAAAAAAAAAAGACAUCACCCAAGGGAAUAAGCAACAGGAGUUAAAAAUUACUGGGGGCCAUUUUGGAAGCUGCCUACCACACCCAGAAUGAAACAUCUAUUAAAAUAUCCAUAAACUUUUUCUAAAAAAAGGUACGAGUAUAUUUCCCAGGCCUAAAAGUAGCUUAUAAUUAAUUACUGAAUUUACAAAGUAUCUCAUUUUUUAGAUGCAGAAUGUACCAGAUUUGAAGCAGCCAAAAGGGUUAAACAAAACCGAAGCAUGAAGAGGUGAAAAGCACCUGCCAUUUAUUAUGUCUAUACACAAGAAACUGUGUUGGCUGCCUCCAUACAUUUUGUUUCAGUUAACCUUCAAAAAAUGUUGCAUGAAAUAGAGAAGCAGCCUAUCUUAGUGGCAGGGCUGUUUCACAGAACUGUGCAAGUGGUACCCUGAAGAAAACGAAGCCGUCUCUGACAGUGUAAGCAAUACAUCAUUGAUUGUCCUUGUAGUGGCCCAUGAUUCCUUGGGUAUGGAAUCAGUACUUUGUUACUAAUGCUGUGAUUGUCACAAGUUGCUUAGCAUCGUGAAGACUUAGUUUCCUCAUUUCUAGAAUAAGGAGGUCAUAACAUUAAUUAACUCUCAGGACUGCUAUGAAGAUAAAAUGAGAUCAUCAUCAUCAUCGUUGUCAUCAUCACUUAUUCAAUGCUUAUGACAAUCUUGACACUCCUCUAAGUGUUACAAAUAUUUUAACUCUAACAAAACUCCAUCCACAAGGAAGGUAUUUUUAUGAUCUCAUUUUUAACCAAUGAGGAAAAUAAGAUAUGGAAAGUUAAAAAAAAUCUGUGUAUGAUCACAGAGCUAGGAACCAAUCUGACUCCAAAGUCUGAGUUUUUAAUCUCAUUAUACUAUCUCUCAUCAUUGUGGAGUCAAUGAUGUAGUAUAGUGUCUAACAAUUAGUAUAUAUUCAAUAUUAGCUCUUAGUCUUAUCCCAUUUUACUAAUAGGAAAACAAAGAUUUUUAAGUGGUUAACAACUUAUCUAAAAAGUAAUCCUGAUCUUAAAUGAGAGACCCAAGAUUUUAAACCACAUAUGUGGAUCCAAAGCACAUGGCAUUCUUUGUUUUAUUCAGAAUAAUUAUGCCAAUCAUGUUGUGAUCUUUGUCUAAAGGUAAACAACUCUACAUGACUCACCCCUCAGGGCAUUGCUACAUUGUAGCACAAUGCAAACACUGAAGUUUAUAAGAAUGAUUCAAGACCAUCAAGGAAAGGAUAAAUUUUAUAUGAUAUACUUUCUGUAAGAACGACUAAAAGUGUAUGAUAUAUUUUAGAUUUCCAUCAAAUUUAUUAAAAUAAAAUCAGUUCAGUCAUAUACUGGCUGAGCUUCAGCUACCUGAAAAAUUGAUUGAUGUUGAACACCUUGUUCCUGAGCAAUGUCAGUGAAAUGAAGUGUGGCUGUAUAAAAUAAGAGGGAUAGUGAAUGCAAUAGCUUUGGAUAUUUAGCUACAAAAUGAACCACAACAGUCUUAGUUCAGUUUCCACAUCAAACUGUAAACAGAGAAUGUUCUGCAACCCACGAAAAUAAUCAUAUUAAAGGAAUGUGAUCCACAAAAUGUAUUCGGUUUUUAAAAAGGCAUAUACACCCAUCCACUGGCUAUAUCUUUUCCAUAUAGUUACAUACAUCUGAUGAAAUUAUUAAUCAUCCACUUUUCUUUAUGCAGCUCUUAUCAAAUUAUAGAAAAUAGAGCUGUUAAAUGAAGUGUUAUUUUGUAAAGAAAACAAGCAUUUUACCCAUGAAAAUAUAUGAACCAGCAAAGGAAUGUGAUAUUAUAAAUUCAUUAUUUUCAGCCCAAAUUGGGCUCACAACACUAGCUGAGGAAAAGAAAAAACCCCUUAAAUAGCUCUGUAAUCAUCAUGCUAGCCUCAUCUUACAAGAUAUCUAAAUUAACUUCUUUUGAUUUUCCACCCAUCUUUCUGGCUUCUCUGCUUUAAGUGAUUUUUGGAGUUUGUCUUUCUUUUUUCUUUAUUUAUGUCCUGAUGAUAACAUUUAGUUUCAUAUUGUCAAAAAUGUUCAGGUGCCACUCUGAUGGCAUGCACACUUGAGUGCAGAUGCUGCUGCCACUACCCCAGUGGAAAGCUUUGGCUGACACCCCCACCAUCAGAAUGUUUUUGUCAGCAGACCAGGAACACCUCAGCUCUUCCAGUGCAGCAGGUGCUUAACCUAGGGGGGUCAAAGAACAAAGCCUGGCACCAGUCCCCGAGGGUUAGAGCAUGCAGCCAGGAGUGCUGAUGUGAGCCUUGUGCCCCCCAAAAUCUAUCAUAAACAAAGCCAGUCAAGUGAAGUUAGCUUAUAACACAGUCAAACCCUCAAGGGCAUCAUAUAAUAUAAAAGCAAAAAACCCUAUGCAAAGGACAGCAACUUCAAAGAUUAAAGGAACAUGAGGCUACACAGAUGAGAAAGAACCAGCGCAAGAACUCUGACAGCACAAAAAGUCAGAGUAUCUUCUUAUUUCCAAAUAAUUUGCAUUAGUUCCUCAGCUAUGGCUCUUAACCAGGCAGAAACGGCUAACAUGACAGAUACAGAUUCAGAAUCUGGAUAGAAAUGAAGAUCACUGAGAUUCAGGAGAAAGUCAAAACCCAGUAUAAGGAAUCUAAUGAAACUGAUAAGAUGAUAGAAGAGCUGAAGCACAAAAUAGCCAUUUUAAGAAAGAACCAAACUGAUCUGAUUGAACUGAAAAACUUAAUUACUAUAAGAGUUUCAUAAUACAAUCACAAAUAUUAACAGAAGAAUAGACCAAACUGAGGAAAGAAUCUGAAAGCUCAAACACUGGUUCUUUGAGUCAACUCAGUCAGACAAAAAUGAAGAAAAAAGAGUAAAAAGAAUCAACAAAACCACUGAGAUAGAUGGAAUUAUGUAAAUAGACCAGAUGUGUAACUUAUUGGUAUCCCUGAAAGAGAGGAACAGAAGGAAAGCAACUUGGAAAACAUACUUGAGGAUAUUAACCAAGAAAAUUUCUCCAACUUUGCUAGAGAGUUUGACAAAUUCAGGAAAUGUAGAGAAUCCUUGUGAGAUACUAUACUAGACAACUAUCCCCAAGACAUGUAGUCAUCAGAUUCUCCAAGGCCAAUAUGAAAGAAAAAAUAAUAAAGGCUGCCAAAUAGAAAGGGCAGGUCACCUGCAAGGAAACCCCAUCAGGCUAACAAUGGACCUUUCAGCAAAAAACCUACAAGCAAGAGGAUAUUGAGGGCCUAUAUUCAGCAUUCUUAAGGAAAAGAAAUUCUUUUUUUGUUGUUCUUUUCUCCUUUUAAAAAAAAUAUUUAUACUAUAUAGUAACCCUUUGCUAGAUGGGUAGAUUGCAAAAAUUUUUUCCCAUUCUGUUGGUUGCCAGUUCACUGUAUUGAUAGUUUCUUUUUCUGUGCAGAAGCUCUUAAGUGUAAUUAGAUCCCAUUUGUCUGUUUUGGCUUUUGUUGUCAUUGCUUUUGGUGUUUUAGUCAUGAAGUCCUUGCCCAUGCCUAUGCCCUGAAUGGUAUUGCCUAGGUUUUCUUCUAGAGUUUUUAUGGUGUUAGGCCUCAUUUUUAAAUCUUUAAUCCAUCUAGAAUUAAUUUUUGUAUAAGAUGUGAGGAAGGGAUCCAGUUUCAGCUUUCUGCAUACAGCUAGCCAGUUUUCCCAACACCAUUUAUUAAACCGGAAAUCCUUUCCCCAUUGCUUGUUUUUGUCAAGUUUGUCAAAGAUCAGAUGGUUGUAGUUGUGUGGCAUUCUUUCUGAGGCCUCUUUUCUGUUCCAUUGGUUUAUAUCUUUGUUUUGGGUACCAGCACCAUGCUGUUUUGAUUACUGUAGCCUUGUAAUAUAGUUUGAAGUCAAGUAUCAUGAUGCCUCCAGCUUGUUUAUUUGUUUGUUUGUUUGUUUUCUUUGCUUAGGAUUGUCUUGGCUAUGCAGGCUCUCUUUUGAUUCCAUAUGAAGUUUAAAGUAGUCUUUUCCCAACUCUGUGAAGAAAGUCAUUGGUAGCUUGAUGGAGAUAGCAUUGAAUGUAUAAAUUACUUUGGGCAGUUUCUAACCAAGUGUUUUUUAUUCAGCCAAAUUAAAUAUAAGCAAAAGAGAAAUAACUUUCUUUUUAGACAAGCAAAUGUUAAGAGAAUCUGUUACCACCAGACUGGCCUUACAUGAGUUCCUUAAGGGAGUGCUAAACAUGGAAAUGAAAGACUCUUACUGGCCAUCACAAAAACGCACUUAAGUACAUAGACUAUUGGAACUAUAAAACAACUAUACAAUCAAGUCUGCAUAACAACCAGCUAACAACAUGAGGACAGGACCAAAUCCACACAUAUCAAUAUUAGCCUUGAAUAUAAAUGAGCUAAAUACCCCAAUUAAAACACAUAGUGGCAAGCUGGAUAAAGAAGCAAGACCCAACUGUAUGCUAUCUUCAAGAGACCCAUCUCACAUGCAAUGACACCCAUAGGCUCAAAGUAAAGAGAUGGAGCUAAUUUCAGAGAAACAGACUUUAAACCAACAACAAUCAAGAAAGACAAAGAAGGUUAUUACAUAAUGAUAAAGGAUUUAAUUAAAAAAAAAAGACUUAGUUAUUCUAAAUAUAUGUGCUCCAAACACUGGAGCACUCAGAUUCAUUAAAAAAAGUUCUUAGAUGCCUAUGAAGAGACUUAGAUAACCACACAAUACGUGUGGGAGACUUCAAAACCUCACUAACAGAACUAGAUAUAUCAUCAUGACAGAAAACUUACAAAGAUAUUCGAAACUGAAUUCAACACUUGACCACAUGGAUCUAACAGACAUCUUCAGAACACACCACCCAACAACAAUAGAAUAUACUGUCUUCUCAUUUGCACAUGGCAUGCACUAUAAAAGUGAUCACACCAUCAGCCAUAAAAUAAUUCUCAACCAUUGAAAAAAACCCAAAGUAAUAACAACCACACUCUUGGACCACAGUGCAAUAAAAUGAGAAGUCAAUACAAGAAUAUCUCUCAAAAUUAUACAAUUACAUUGAAAUUAAACAACCUCCUCCUGGGUGACUUUUGGGUAAGCAGUUAAAUGAAGGCAGAAAUCAAGACAUUAUUUAAAACUAAUGAAAACAAAGAUACAACAUAUAAGAAUCUCUGGGAUGGGCCAGGUACAGUGCCUCAUGCCUGUAAUCCCAGCACUUUGGGAGGCCAAGGUGGGCAGAUCACUUGAGGCCAGGAGUUUGAGACCAGCCAGAGCAACACUGUAAAACUCUGUAUCUACUAAAAAUACAAAAAUUGACUGGGUGUGGUGGCACAUGCCUGUAAUCCCAUCUACUUGAGAAGUUGGGGCACAAGAAUUGCUUGAACCUCAGUGAGCUGAGAACACACCUUGCAUCCCAGCCUGGGUGACACAGCGAGACUAUCUAAAAGAAAAAAAAAAAAAAGAAAAAUCUCUGGAAUAUAGCUAAAACAGUGUUAAUAGAAAAGUUAAGAGCAAUCUCAAACUAACAACUUAACACCACACCUAGAGAAAUGAAAAAAACAAGACAAACCAAUCUCAAAGCUAUCUAGAAGGAAAGAAAUAACCAGCAUCAAGCUAAACUGAAAAAAGAUGAUCUAAAUAUCAGAAAUGACAAAGGGAACAUUGCUAUCAAUUCCACAGAAAUAAAAAUAACCCUCAGAUACUGUUACAAACACCCCUUUGCACACAAACUAGAGAACUUAGAAGAAAUCAAUAUGUCCCUGGAAACAUAAAACCUCAAAAGGUUGAACCAGGAGGAAACUGACAGCCCAAACAGACCAAUAACAAGUUCUGAAAUUGGAUCAGUAAUUACAAGCCUACUGACCUAAAAAGCCCUGAACCAGACACAUUCACAGCUGAAUUAUACCAGAUGUAUAAAGAAGAGCUGGUACCAAUCCUACUGAAACUAUUCAAAACAAUUGAGGAGGAAGGACUUUUUCAUACCUCAUUCUAAGAGGCCAGCAUCAUUCUGAUACCAAAACCUGGCAGAGACACAAAAAAAAAAAAAAAAAAAAAGAAAACUUGGGUCCAAUGUAUUUGAUGAACAUAAAUAUAAAAAUCCUCAACAAAAUACUAGCAAAUCAAAUCCAGCAGUGUAUCAAAUAGAUAAUCCACCUUGAUCAAGUAGGCUUUAUUCCUGGGAUGCAAAGUUGGUUUAAUAUACACAAAUCAAAAAAUGUGAUUCACCACAUAAAUAGAAACAAAACCCAAAAUCACAUGAUUAUCUCAAUAGAUGCAGAAAAGGCUUUUUAUAAAAUUCAACAUCCCUUCAUGUUAAAAACUUUCAGUAAUCUAGGCAUUGAAGGAAUAUUCCUCAUAAUAAUAACAACCAAAUAGGACAAACCCACAGCCAGCAUCAUAUUGAAUGGGCAAAAGCUGGAAGCAGUUCCCUUAGAACCAGAAAAAACAAGCAGGCUCACGCUCACCACUCCUAUUCAACAUAAUAAUGGAAGUCCUAGACAGAAUCAGGCAAGAGAAAAAAAUAAAAUUAUCCAAUUAAGAAAAAAGGAAGUUAAAAAAAUCUCUGUUCAUCAAUGACAUGAUUGUAUACUCAGUAAAUUUAAAGACCCUCCAAAAGACUGCUAUUCUUGACAAAAAACUGUAGUAAAAUUUCAGCUUAUACAAAUCAGGAGCAUUCCUUUACAUCAACAAUAUGCAAGCUGAGGACCAAAUCAAAAGUGCAAUCCCAUUCACAAUAGCCACAAAAAAUAAUGUACCUAGGAAUGCAGCUAACUAGUGAGGUGAAAGAUUUCUACAAUGAGAAUUAUAAAAUACUGCUAAAAGAAAUCAGAGAUGACACACAAAAAAAUGGAAAAACACUUCAUGCUCACAGAUAAGUAGAAUAAAUACGGUUAAAAUGGUCACACUGCCCUAAGCAAUUUACAGAUUUUAUGCUAUUUCUAUCAAACUACUAAUGACAUUUUACACAGUAUUAAAAAGAACUAUUCUAAAAUUCAUAUGGAAUCAAAAAAGAUUCUGAAUAACCAAUGAAAUCCUAAGGAAAAAGAAUAAAGCCAGAGGUACCACACUACCUCAUUUCAAACGACUCUACAAGGCUACAGUAACCAAGACAGCAUGGUACUUGUACAAAAACAAACACAGACCAAUGGAAUGGGUUAGAGAACCAAGAAAUAAAGCCACAUACCUACAACCAUCUGAUUUUCAACGAAGUCAGCAAAAGCAAGCCAUGGAGAAAGGACUCCCCUAUUCAAUAAGUGGUGCUACGCUAAAUGGCUAGCCAUAUGCAGAUUAUAGAAACUGGACCCCUUCCUUCAUUAUAUGCAAAAAUAGACUCAAGAUUGAUUAAAUACUUAAAUGUAAAAAAACCCUAGAAGAAAACAUAGAAAAUAUCAUUCUGGACAUAGGCAUUGACAAAGAUUUCAUGACAAAGAUGACAAAAGCAAUUGCAACAACAAAAAAAUGACAAAUGGCAACUAAAUGAAAGAGCUUCUGCAUAGCAAAAGAGACUAUCAAGAGUAAACAGAUAACCUAUAGACUGGGACAAAAUAUUUUCAAACUAUACAUUCAACAAACUUCUAAUUCCAGAAUCCAUAAGGAACUUAAACAAAUCAACAAGCAAAAAAUAAGCAACCACAUUAAAAAAGGGGCAAAGGAUGUAAACAGAUACUUCCCAAAAGAAUACAUACACAUGGCCAGCAAGCAUAUGAAAAAAUGCUCGAUAUCACUAAUCAUUGGAGAAAUGCAAAUAAAAACCACAAUGAGAUACCAUCUCAUUUAGACCAGUCAAAAUGGCUAAUAUUAAAAAGUCAAAAAAUAACAGAUGCUGUAAGGCUGUGGAGAAAAGGGAAAGCUUAUACACUGCUGGUGGGAAUGUAAACUAGUUCAGCCACUGAAGAGAGCAGUUUGGAGAUUUCUCAAAGAAUUUCAAACAGAAUUACCAUUUGACCCAGCAAUUUCUUACAGGAUAUAUAUCUGAAGGAAUGUAAAUUAUUCUACCAUAAAGACACAUGCAUGUGUAAGUUCAUUAUAGCACUAUUCACAGUAGCAAAGAUAUGGGUUCAACCUAAAUGCCCAAAAAUAAUGGAUUGGAUAAAGAAAAUGUAGUACAUAAAAUCAUAGAAUACUAUACAUCCAUAAAAAAGAAUGAGAUCAUGUCCUUUGCAGAAACAUAAGUGGAGACAGAGGCCAUUAUCCUAAGCGAAUUAAUGUAGGAAUGGAAGACAAAAUUCUGCAUGUUCUCACUUAUAAGUGGGAGCUAAACAUUGAGUACACAAAGACGCUAAGAAGGGAAUAGGCACUGGGGCCUACAUGAGGGUGGAGAGUGGGAGGAGAGUGAGGAUUGAAAAACUACCUGUCGAGUAUUACACUUAGUAGCUGGGUGAUGAAAUAAUGUGUACACCAAAUCCCUGCAACACACAAUUCACCUAUAUAACAAACCCACAUAUAUACCUCUGAACCUAAAAUAGAAGUUGGAAUAAAAAAUAAAAUGAAUAAAUUUCCCAUGUCCUCCCCAAAACAAAUCCAGUUAAGAAAAAAAAAAAAAAGAAAAUGUUAAGAAGGUAGUUUAAUAAAUUAGAUUAAGCAUGUGGCCAUUGUAGUCAGAACUACUUUAGAUACCUGUUCUAUUAUUUGCCAGCUAGGAAACUGGAGCAGAUUCCUUAAAUUCUUUAAAUUUUCACUUUCCUUCUAAGGAAAAUGGACCUGAAAGUAGUUGGUUUUCCAGACUCACCUCACAACAUUGUCUAAAAGAUUAAGUUAUAUAAUUCAUAUAAAACUCUCAGAAAAGUACCAGCCAAGUAGUAUGAGAUCAGUACAUAUUAACUGUUAUUGUUAAUAUGACUGUUGUUAAUAAUAUUAUAUUUUGCUAAUAUUAUUAUUUAUCAACGUUAUUAUUUUGAAGAGCUGAGAGCUUCCAAGUCUGUACCUUCAGUUCAGAUCCCUUUUUUGGGGUCAGGGCCUGCCUUCAUCUUUCAAAACAAUACAUCUGCUCAACUCUAUUUCUCUAACUGUUAGCUUUGCUCUUGACUUGGCCUAAGCUCUGGAAAAAGCAAUGCCAUUAACUCUGCGUAAUGGAAUCCUGCAUGGGCUCUUUAAUAUUCUUUCAGUUAUCAGAACAGUUCUGUUUCAAUAUUUAAUCUUUACUCUUUUACAUUUUAUGAUUUUGGCCUCAAACUUUAUUUAAAGCUCUCUUUUUUCUUCAAAAGAUACCUAGAAUUUUCAUGUCUUCAGCAGCUUGGAGUAGAGUUUCCCUCAGCCCCCUUUACCUUCUAGUGCUAGAUCCUCUCUUAGGUUCAGGUGGAGAGCAAAGAGAGGGAACAGGCAAACUUCUCCUUUCUGAACUGGGAGUAGAAGCAGUUACUUGUUAACUGAUGGGAAGUCCCUAGCUCACACUGGUAAUUUCUGUCGUGGAGCACUGGAGGGUCCUGGUCAGGUGUCCUGCUGAUUCUCUGAUACAGGAGAUCUAGCUCUGGCUUGGUAUUGUCCUCCUGCUCCUCCUCCCCUUAGCUCCUUCCUUAUUCCACAGCAUCUUGCUGCUGGGGUCCCUCUUGGGAGAACUUUCUGCAAGAUAGCUCUAACUCAGUUCCCUCUAAGGUGUCUGUUUGCUCCAGCUUUCAGAGUAUAAGGUGAGUCCCACUGUUUCCCUCUUCUUUGGCCCUGUCUUUCUUCUCUUUUCUCAGCUCAUUGUGACCAAGGGGCAGAUUAGUGAGUCUGAUGAUUCCACAAGUGUACAACUAGAGAACAAAAUGCUCUUUUUUUCUCACAGAAAUCCUUCUAUUGCAUAAGUAAUCUUCAUGAAGCUCCCCAUUCCCCAUGGAAUUUGAAAGGAGAAGCAUUCCUGUAGCCUUCUGUUGAUAAGAGAAGAAUCUUCCUGUUUGGACACUGGGCUUCUGAAAAGGCCAUGUGCUCUCCUAUCUCACAGUCUUCUUUCUUUUACUUUCUUUGUUUUUUCUCUUUUUAAUUGUUUAUUUCUGACUUCACAGUCUUGUAUGUGUUUUGACUGUCACAAGGAUGAGCAUUUGGUGUGGUAGUAAAACAUUAUUGGAUUAGUACCUCUCAUUAGUCCCUAAAAAUACAUAUGUAUCUGGCCCCAACUCUUGGUGACUCUCUAAGCUUAGGAGGCAUUUUUUUGGUAUGUUUUAUGUAUAUUUUUGAACUUACACAAUGGUUUUGAAAACAGGACAAAUUGUCACUCCCAGAGAUACGGAAGAUUGUUAUCUCAUUCUAACUUUAUAUUACCAAUAUCUAACACAGCCGCUGCAAAAUGAUUGGUACUAAUAAAUAUUUGUUGAAUGAAUAAAUGAAUGAGUGAAAAGCAGAAUGUAAUAUGUAGAAAAGUUGAUCAUAAAUUCUUUGGUACAUAAUAGAAUAUAAUAUAAUCUGGGAAGUGUUCACCCUGAGAAAUUGCUAUCAUCAUCUUAAUGCCAUAUAACAUUUAAAGUUCUUAAAUUGCUCCCCUUGAUACCAUUGUGUUUAUUGACCCUAUUUUUAUACUUUUAUGCUUUGGUUUCAUUUUCUACUUAUUAGUUAAAUAAUUAUGAGAACUGUGGGAAUAAAUUUAAAAUAUUACUGUGUUUCUAUAGAGAGUUCUGCUGUAAUGUAGUGAUUAUGAAAUGAUCUCAAAUGUACUCAGGAUUAUUAAAAUGUAUAGUUUAAUAAAUAUUUUUAUUUUUGGUUAUUCUUUCCCAAAUUACAUUAAAAUGAUCCUCUUGCACUUA
Molecule: non-coding RNA, 15545 nt
Organism: Callithrix jacchus (white-tufted-ear marmoset)
Lineage: Eukaryota; Metazoa; Chordata; Mammalia; Primates; Cebidae
Source: RefSeq, a predicted model, not a curated record